GACGAACGCUGGCGGCGUGCUUAACACAUGCAAGUCGAACGCUGAAGCUCAGCUUUUGUUGGGUGGAUGAGUGGCGAACGGGUGAGUAACACGUGAGUAACCUGCCCCCUUCUUUGGGAUAACGCCCGGAAACGGGUGCUAAUACUGGAUAUUCACUGGUCUUCGCAUGGGGGUUGGUGGAAAGGGUUUUUCUGGUGGGGGAUGGGCUCGCGGCCUAUCAGCUUGUUGGUGGGGUGAUGGCCUACCAAGGCUUUGACGGGUAGCCGGCCUGAGAGGGUGACCGGUCACAUUGGGACUGAGAUACGGCCCAGACUCCUACGGGAGGCAGCAGUGGGGAAUAUUGCACAAUGGGCGCAAGCCCGAUGCAGCGACGCCGCGUGAGGGAUGGAGGCCUUCGGGUUGUGAACCUCUUUCGCUCAUGGUCAAGCCGCAACAAUGGUUGUGGUGAGGGUAGUGGGUAAAGAAGCGCCGGCUAACUACGUG
RNAcentral lists this ribosomal RNA (483 nucleotides) under uncultured bacterium. RNAcentral describes it as "partial 16S ribosomal RNA". It matches the Rfam family "Bacterial small subunit ribosomal RNA", at positions 28 to 507 of the family's 1533-position model. The record is from RNAcentral.